Molecule: long non-coding RNA, 10259 nt
Organism: Brassica rapa (field mustard)
Lineage: Eukaryota; Viridiplantae; Streptophyta; Magnoliopsida; Brassicales; Brassicaceae
Source: RefSeq, a predicted model, not a curated record
ACAGAGUAAAAUAUUUUUCAAUCACAUUUCAUAUUCAACUCCAAAAUGAAGUAAUAGCUAGGGUUACUUCAUUUAUGGAGUAAGCUUAUCCAUUACUCCAUUUUGGAGUUGAACUUUUUAUAUUUAUGAAACGGUCCUUUUGAUUUUUUAAUAUUUUUAUUUCAUACUUAAAAUAAUAUAAUAACAUAAAAAAAUAUAAUACUCCACUAAAAAUUACUACUUUAUAGUUUACAGAAAAUAUGCAUAAACUCAUAAAAGUCAAAACUAAGAAUAAAAAAUAUAAAAUAAAUAUAAUAUAAAUAAGUAAUAUAAUAAUUAAUUCGGUAAAUUAUUUUUGAAACUACCAAAAGCGGUGAAGUAUUAUUCAAACGGAAUAGAUGAGUUUUUUAGUUUUGUGGAUCAAAAUUUUGAUUGAUAACAUUUGUACUUGUUGAACUUGAUAUAUGCACAAACAAACAAUAGGACCCAAUACAUAAUUCAAAUUACAAAACAAACUUUAUUUUUCUUUAUGUUUUUUAAUGCAUAAAAAUAUUUUUGAAUUAGAAAAAUUACAUAUGAUAAAAUCUGCACGAAUUGAAAGUGGAAGAUAAUCUCUAGUUGUAUUUUUAUUGAUAAAUAUUUAAUUUAAAUAAAAUAUAUUAUUAUAGAAAUUUUGUAAACAUAAAAUAGUUGGGUUAAUAUUUCAUUCCUACUCCAUUUUUUUUCUCUAAAAUGGAGUAAAAGUGAAUAUGGAGUAAGGAAUGCUCCAACCCAACUCCAUAUCUCACUCCAUAAUAAAAUUUACUCCAUAAAUGGAGUAAUUUAUUUUUUGUUUGUUCAUCACUCCAUUAUGGAGUGGGAAAUGGAGUAGGAUUGAAGCAAUUUUACUUCAUUUUCACUUUUACUCCAUUUUAGAGGAAAAAAUAGAGUUUUACAUUGGAGAUGCUCUAAUAACAAUUAUUAACUAAAUGAAAAAAAGAAUCAUUUUGUUUGGAGUUAAAAAUAGAGUAAUACAUUGGAGUAAAAUCCAACUUCAUUUUGGAGUUACACCAUUUUGGAGUAAAAUUUGGAGUAAUACAUUGGAGAUGCUCUAAAAGACAUGGAAACUAUUGGUUAACCAAAAAAUAUCAUAAUGGAUCUUACUUAUAUGUAUCAAAUAACAUUUAAUAAUUGAAUAAUUAUUGGUGAAAUGAACUGAAUAAAAUAGUCAUAAAUUAAUUAUAAGAUAUAGUUUAACAGGUUAAUCAUGUUUUAUAUUAUACCUUUACCACAUUAGUUAUAUAUAUAUAUACCAAAAUCAUUUUUCUAAACACAAGCAAACAUAAAUUUUAGUAAAUAAUAGAAUUUAAAAAUGGUAUAUAACGAAACCAUGUUUUUACACAUGAUCAAUAAAAAAGUGCUAUUUUUAUUUAAUUUUUAUGGAAAUGGAACUUCCUUUAUCUCCUUUGCGUGGCUGAUUGAGUCUUUUGUGAAUAUGAGUUUCUGUAUUGUAAAGGUCGGGUUCAAAAAAUGGAACAGAAAAAGUUUGCUAUUUGUAAGUGGUUUGGGUCGCAGAUCGGGAAGCAGUCGCAGCUAGAAAAGUCGACAUUUAUAUAUUUAUUUUCCUUUUUCUAUGGGUAAGAUAAUGUUGUUAAAUUAUGUUUAUACUGAGUUAGGUAGCAUUCGACUAAAGUAAUUACAUAAAGUUCAGAAGAUACAACAUAAACAUGAUUGCUUGUUUUUCUUAAUACCGUAGGUUAUCUAGAAAAAAUAACACGGCGCUAAACUUCUUAGUACAAAUACAAUCAUUAACAUGAUUGCUUGUAUAUAUAGGUAUUUACCUAAUUCAUUAUAACUUGUUACCUAAUUCAUUAUAACUUGUUCGCAUACCAAAUUACCAUUAACAUGGACUAUGCCGAUCAUAUACGUCACUUUAAUGACGUAACAAUCGGAGUAAAAUACACAGAAAUUCAGAUAUCGAGUUUGUCAUAAAUGAAAACAAAUUUAAGAUAUUAAAAAUGAGUAUUUAUUGAUUUAUUUGAAAAAAAAAUAUUGGGUUUAUACGUGUGAAAACAGAACAAUGAAAUAUUAGAAGCAAAAAGAAAAGCUUCAUUUGUCAUGGUUAUAGCGCAAGAAGGUGAAAAAUAAAGGUGGAAAAGGAAGAAAAAUAAAGCGCGAAACUAGGAGUAAAGUUUUUCAUUUGUCUAGGAUAGAGAAAAAUAUUACUUUACAUUUUUUUUUAUCUUUUUGGAGUAAAUAAGCUGAAAGACAAUUUUAUCUGAUUGGUAGAAAAAAUGGAGUUAGCUUAAAAGAACAUUUACUCUAAGUUUAUUUACUCUAUGAAUGUUAUUCAGUCACACUCAUAAUGAAAACCCUAUAAAAUAUCAGUGGUGGGAAGAAGUCAAACAAGAAGAAGCGUCUAGCAAUGGCGGGUCGAGUGCACAUGUGACAGUAUAUAUAUAUACGGAAUCUUAUAAGGAAGGUGGAAAAUGAGGGUCAAAACCUUAUAUCUUCGGAUCAUCUUUUUACAAACUAUGCAUGUGGAAACAAUGAGCAUGAUACUUGCCAAUUUCAUAGUUACAAAUGACAAACGCGGUUCCAAAUAAAGCUUUAGAUAUGCUUAACAUAGUAACAAGACAUUCCGACCGAUGAAUGAGAGGGUUUCGAUUUGAUUUUUAUUUAAUUUUUGUUUCACUACGAUUAUCUUUUAACGAGCUCACGUUUAAAACGUUGGCAGAUGUUAAUGUUAUUUUGUUCUUCUUAAACAUAAACUGGAAUAUGCAAAUAGAAUAUCUAUAUCGAUGGAAAAUAAUGUGUAGAUCGGGUUAAGCAGUGAGAUCAAGUUGACAUAAUAUAUUAGAACGUCCGCGUUAUUCCACUCGGCACCUACUUGCAUUUACUUCAUUUAUUUGUUUAUUUUUCUUGUGAGAAAAACCUAAAUAAUUUCACGGUUGACUAUACGUAUGUCACAUUCUUACAUUUAUUUUGAAAUCGAUGUUUCCAAUUGGAGAUAUAUAUUGCAGCUUUUGGAGAUAUACCUUUUUAAAAAUUAAUAGCUGUACAAAAAAAAUGUAUACUAAAAAUUAAAUCUGGAAUACAUUCUUCUAAAAUUUCAUAACUACCACAUCUUCACAAGUAAAUGUACACAUACUUCUUAGAUUUAUCUACUGAAUUACAACGUUAGGUCUAAUAGCUAAACAUUAUAAGAGCAUACAUGGUUACAUUAUAAAUGUUUCAUAAUAUAAUUUUUUGAAAAGUAUUUUAGUUUCAAAAUAUAAGUUAUCUUCACAUUUAUGAAAAAUAAAUAGAUGAAUGAAUAGUAUCUGCUGAAAGUCGUUGGUCUUGUCAUUUACUUGUAUUGAAGUUUUUUAUGGGUUAUACUUAAUUUUUUAAUAAGCAAGAACAUAUUCUUUGGCAAUUAAAGCAGUUAAAGUUAUAAAAAACCAGCAAAGUCAAUGGAGGUAAACAAACGUUAUAAUAUAAACUAUAAACACACAAAUUUAAGAUAUAUGCAAUUACAAAGCACAUAUACUUAUUUGACAUGGUUAUCUUAUCUCACUACACUGAACAAUUUUAAAAAACAGAGACUAGCAAAGCAUAGGCAAAAUAUAAACCGAGAAAUAGGUCGACCCAUGCGUUUAGCACGAGCUUCAUGGCAUGCACAACAAACAACAAAAUUUCAGAAGAAUAAUUAACUUAGAUAACACAAAACAUACACAAAAUCAAAUAAGAACGUCUCAAUUAUUUUUCGGACCCUGUUCAAAAAUAUUAACGAUAUAUUUAAAGCAUAAUGAAAUAGCUUUAGAAACUAAUAGUUCUAUUUAUAUAUGUUUAACAUUUUUUUAUAAAUUAUAAACUCUAAAUUAGUCAGUACUGUAUUUAAAUUUUGAUGUUUUAGACUAUAAUUUAUGUAUAUAUUGUUGAAAAUUUCUUUAAAAUUUUUAUUUUUAUAUUUGGACCCUGUUCGACCGCUCCACAUGCACGUGCUAUUAGACAGUCCCUGUAAGAACGGUGUGAGAUUUUGUUUAAGGAAAGGUUUAAAAGCUCAAAAACCUUUCUAAAUUCAUUAAAAGUUAUUACAAAAUCAUAGUUUUAGGCAAAUCCAUAAAAUGAAUUAUUUAUUUUAUAUAAUAUUAUUAAAUAGAUUCUAACCUGAUCAACUAAAAACUACAUGCAGAAAUAAUAUUCAUACACCUUGCGCACACUCUCUUAAUCAGUUUACUUUUUACCCUACACAAAUCUAGAAGUGCAACAAUCUCUUCAGAGACUUCCCUAUAUUUUCAUCCAGAACCACACAUAUCUUUCGUCUCCCUAUAGGUAAAGCUAACAAGAUUAAUAAGUUAAGCUGUAAUGACAAAUCCAGAUGCUGCUGCGAUAAACCUGCCUGAAGCUUAGAGACAGAUUAGUUUGGUGAGACGUGCUUAGCGUUGAGAUCAGGUGGAAACCGGUUUAAUCAGGUGGUGUGCCUCCUUUUCUUCUAAAUGAAAAUUUCGCAUGUGUGAGCUCGUUCGUAUGUAUUCUGAGAUCUAAGCCCGUAUUAAAGCCCAUUAAUAUGGGCUUAGUAAUAUUUGAAAGACGUGGCAGUGAUUACCUUGGUGCAGAAGUCAACAAAACUAGGUGGAUAUUUGAGCUCUGUUUGUAAAGUGUUUAGCUUUGUCGGUUUAAUGCUCUCUGGGUUUAGUUGAACUUCUUGUGUGUUGAUUAGUUUCCUUGCUUUGGAGCUAUAAGUGCAUGAACUUUUGUGUAAAGUUUCAGAUUUUAUCUUAACCUGAACUUUUGGUUAAGAAAAAAAUGGAUACGGCCUUCGAACUUGGAAACAGUUAUACGGAGUAUGAAGCCUAACUUAAGAAAAAUUACUGAUAAUCCGAUCUGAUAAUUGUUACGCAUAUCUGACUUGCCUGUUCUGCUACGCUUGAUUGUCUUUGACUUGCCUGGAAGAUAAUGAAGUUUAAGGAAGAUCAGGAUGUACGAAUGGCUUCAAAAUGUUUGAUAAGGUCUCUCUCUCUCUCUCUCGUAUCUGAAGUAUGUUGACUCUCUAUUUGCUGGAUUCUGUAAAAAAAUGUGUAGCCUCUCUUUCAGGUACCUUAUAUAUAUGCAUAUUAGAGAAAACAAUUAUUGGACUCUUAACGCCAACAUGAAUGGAAAAUGGAACUUGAGAUUUUACCUUUAGCUGCAUUUAAUAUUCAUCAUCAUCUGAGAUCAAAACUCAAAACCUUGACAAGAACUUGACGCAGAUUUUACCUUUAGCUGCAUUUAAUUCGACCAAAUAAUGUGAUUCAGAGAUCUUUCAAAUCAUCUUCAUUAUUCCUAUGUUGGAUUAUAUGACUCGUAUGAGUCGUAUCUACUAGGUUUGACUUUAUGUUUGGACUUAAACACUCCUCAAAGAUAGAUUGAUCCUGAGCCGAGUAAUAUGCAAAACUGAAUCGGUAAACAUGUUGAACCAGAGAAAACUAGACCGAAUAAAGAGUCUUUAGUUUGCAAUGCUUAUACUGAAAUCAUGUUAUGAGCUCAUUUACCAAAUUCCAAACCGAUAUCAUCAGAGAACCAUAUCUCAAGUCGGUUUGAUCUGGUUUGUAUCGAGGUUUGGUUUAUCUUUUGAUGGUGGUGCUACUCAGAACAUCAACAUCAGUACCAAACACAUGAGUUAAACAGUCCUCGUAGAGUAUGGAUCUUGAGAAUCCAAAGAUGGGGUAUACUAAAGAUUUGCUUACUGAUCAUCAUCACUAAAAAAGAGAAAAAGAAUCAAAGAUCGUUUUCAAACAGUAAAAGAAAAAGAGACUUCGACGUUAGAUUUGUUAGUGGCUUCAACUAAAAAAACCACGUGAUCUCUAUGCACAGUUAACUCAUUAUCUCAAUAAUGUUUUUAUUAGGAGGCGGCCGUAUUGUGAAGCUUGAAAUGAUGAGGUUCCUUUUCGUUGUUUUGUUUGUGAAACAACUUUAGUUUGUUAGUUAAUAAAGAAAAUUUCACUAGAUCUGACAAGUUUUAUCUCAAAUCUUUGUUACAUACUGUUAAUUCCCCAACCAGUAAAGUUAUUUUUGGAAAAGUAAUUGUAGUUAUCUUAUUUUUCAUGUAUAUGAUUUGUAUUUUUAGUCUUUAUCAUCUUUGUAUGUAAAUGUUGUCGGGUGAUAAGCCGUUUUAGCAUGUUGUAAACUCAAUGCCAAAUAAUUAUACGUAUUGGAAAAGUUUAUAUAUCUAGCAUAUCAGAUAAGACUUGUUCCCUAUCACCUGAUAUCAUCUACGUAUAUAUGUUGAAACUAUACAUCAACAACAAUGUUAUUCUUCUAAAUUCGAUUUCUAGGAAAUGAAUGAAAUAAUUUAUUUGGUGAAAGGCUAAAUCACAAGGCAGGCCACUUCUUCGAUUGGAAGAAUGUCAUGUCGGCUUUCAGUGAGAAUUUGGAAAAGUUGCCUAUGCAGUGAAGUAUAUAAGCCACUAAUAAAGAGAAUCUCGUGGCUGAAAUUAAGUUAAUUUGAUCACAUUCGAUGCAUUUUCUUUAAACCCAUUAUUUUUCAUUAUUUUAGUCUUAGGUUUCCCUACAUCUAUAUAAUAUCAAACAUUUCCGCAUAAUCAAAAUCUUACGAUCAUGGACAAUAUACAAAUUAUUGGACCAUAAGGUCUGAGAAAGGACUUGUAUAAAAAUGAUUAAAAUGUGUUUUAUAGAAAAUCAAUCCGUUUUAAUAUUUGUAUAGGUAUAAUCCUCGUCAAUGCACAUAAAUACAAACGUUGUACUUAUUACGUUUCGAAUUAAUUGUCAUUCUAAAGUUUUGUACACAUAUUAAAAAAUUAGUUACAUCUUCAUAUUUGUCUUUUGUUUGACCAUUAUAACUGUAUAAUAUUUAUUGUUUAUCUUAAUUUAAUUAAGAGCAAAAAAAAUUAAUGGAAUAAAUUUCAUUGGAAUUAUAAAACGAUAUUUAUUUUGUAAUAAAAAAUUUACGCUACAACGAUAAUUAAUUUAAAACAGAAUAAAUACUAACCAAACUUACACGAACUUGUUUAUAAAGUGUUAUAUAACUGAUUAGAUUGAUAUUGUUAAACUAUUAAAACUACACCCAGUGGUACAAAUACUCUAAUACUAAUCUGCCAUGUUGGAAAAAAAACAUGCGUGCGUAUUUAUGCUUGUACCAUCAAUAGAUUUUAGAAACAAUUACAUCCAAAGCAGUUUUAAGUUUAUUAUUACAUAAUAAGACAGUUUAUGCUACCAAGACACUUUCUUCUAACAACUUCUCUCUUUUCUAAACUAAUUAGUUAUCUUGCAACUAAAUAGCUGACUAACUAAAAAGAUUGUUUUAGCAGGAAUUAACCCACACCACUCAUCUAUUUUUACAAUCGAUGGCCCAGAUUUGUUAUGAUAUAUGUGACAAGACUUAUAUUUGUUUUCUUUCUCAGCCUUUAGAUUUGUAUUUUGCUUUACAUUUUAAUGGCCCAGAUUCAUUUAAGCACAAUAAAAUAUCUUCAUCUCCCACACUUAUUUUCUUCUUUUGAUUUUACGUAAAAACAGAACCUUAAUCAUUUUCUGCCUCCAUCUCCAUCGGAUUAUGUCUCCAUCUCCAUCGGAUUACUGCGGCUAAUAACCUGAUUUUGUGAUGACUCCGGCGCGGCAAGGAUAUCCGACUUUAUCUACCUCCAGUAAGAGUGAUGACUCCGGUGGUGAUGCUUCAUAGCUGCCAUGGUGAAUAACAAACAAGAUCAGACGGGACUACUCGUCUCCUUAUGUUGACUGCUAAGGUAGAAAGAAGAAGAAGAUGCUUAUGAUUGAUCUCCACCAAAUCAUAUUUCUUUUAUUUGCACUUUAGGUCAUUUAUGUUUAGCUAGGUUUUCAAUUUGACCUCCAAAUUAUGGAAUACACAUAUUUUUUAAUUGACUCCAAACUUUCAAAUAUGCACUUUACCCCUUGUUACAUGCAACAAGAAUGAUUAGUGUGUGUUUUCAUGUUAGCUUCAUUUUAAGUUAGUUUAUACUAAUCUUUGGUUAUUGUACACAUGUACACUAUCAUUUCUUGAUAUCAUUGACGAAGACUUUUUAUACCCCUUCCUGUCACUUUGAAGACAUAACAUAUGAUAUGUUUUUCAUUUCUUAUCUACAGCCACUAUUCUUUUUCAUUCACUCAGAUAGUGUACACAACCAAGUCGUACAUACCAGGGGAACACCAGCCCACUUCUAGCAAAUGUCUUUAUUGAUAUACCCAUGUACGCCACCAUAUUUAACAUACUUCCUCUCCUCACUCUGAAGAUAUAACAUGGGUUAUUCAUUUUUCAUCUACAACUACUAUUCUUUUCAUUCAUAUAUGUGUACACAUGUACAACUCAGAUCGUGUACACAACCAAGUCGUACAUACCACGGGAACACCACUUUUUGAAGAUGUCCUUAUUUAAUGUACACAUGAAGACCACCAUUUUUAUCGUACACAUCUACUCCAUUACACUAUAUCGUACACACACAACAAAUAUCCAACAACCACUAUCUACGCACACCACCACGUGUCCACAUGGAAUAUACAAAGCCACAUUACAACUCAAUUGAGUUUAAUCAUAAAUACAUAGACUUAUAGGUUAGAUAAAGUGUCAUUUUGCGUAUAAUGUAAACUAAAUUGAGUUUUACAUUAUGUUUCUCAACUUUAAAUUAUGUUUCUCAACUUCUUGUUCUUAAUUUUGGUUUAGUGUUCCUUUUUAGAUUUGUCUAUUCAUUAAAGUUGAAGUCUUUGCAACAAAAAAACCUAUCAAAUGCACACGACAUUUGUGUAUAACUCAAAUGUAAUGUACACAUGAGAUGUACGAGCCACAUGUACACACGACAUUUGUGUAUAACUCAAAUGUAAUGUACACAUGAGAUGUACGAGUGGGUUUCAAUGUUGCUCAACGAUGGUUUGAUUAGGUGUACACAUGUAUAGCUUGUUUGAUAUAUAAUACAAAAUUAAACCAUCGUUGAGCAACAUUGAAACCUACUCGUACAUCUCAUGUGUACAUUACAUUUGAGUUAUACACAAAUGUCGUGUGUACAUGUCGCUCGUACAUGUCAUGUGUACAUUGAAACUCGCUCGUACACAAAUAUCGUGUGUACAUUACAUUUAAGCUAUACAUGUGUACACAUGUACACGCAUGUUUGCACUCAAUUGUGGUGCAGAUUGUUUAUAUCUAAAAGAACAUAUAUAGUGUACACAUGUACACUUUGAAGUUGAUGUACAUAUGUACACUAUAAACACUUAGAUGUUACUAUUGCAUCUUAAUUAAUCAGAUUAAAUUAUUUAAGUAGCAUUUAAUUGUUAAUAGAAAAGUGUAUUUACAUACAUAAUUGCAUAACCAUGGUCUAUAUUGCACAUUUUAAAGUUUCUGGGCAAAUUCAUGAAGAAACUUGAACUGAUUAAAAUUUUGAGAUAAAUUGGAGAAUAAGAAAGAAUGGGAGGACCAUAGUUGCAAAUAAUCAAAAGUUAACCAUUGUUGCUCCUAUCAAGCUUUUUCUUUGAUCUGCAACUGAAGCCAUGACGAUUCUGGCGCCCACAUCCCGAGCAUGAAGACCACGACGAGAAGGAGACGACUUGACCUUGAAGCGUAUUACGGUAGAACUCUGCCAAAAUUUUGCUCACGGUUUGAGGUUACGGACAAUGGAGCUCUCCGGCUUCUCCAUCACGUUUCUCUCCGGAGUCUCUGGUGCUCCGCGACUGAAACCAUGGUGAUUCUAGCCGCCACAAUUCUUCUCCCAAGCACGACGACCACGGCGGAAUGGAACUCGCGAUUAGAGGUCUGUCACGUUUUUUUCAGAUGCUCCGUUACCUACAUAUAACAUAUUUGCCUAUACGUCAAAAUAAAUUUAAUUGUUAUGGUUUAAAAAAAGUAUAUCUGAUUCAUUUAAUCUUUUGAAAUUCAAACACAGAAAAAAAUUGUAGAAGGUAACUAAAUCAACAACUAGGUUUUCUUAUAGUUAGGGUUAAUGUUGUAAUUAGCCACCAAAAACUACAUUAGUAGCACAAACUGCUCUAUGGUGUAAUAAAAACUUGAAAACUGCCUUUAAGUGUUAAUAAAAAUCAUUAUAAAGUUAUCAUGUAUUGAAAAAAGAGAUAAUUACUCAAUUAGUUGAGAAAAAAGUUUUGAUAUUACUAGAACAGCAUACAUUUUCUAAAUAUUACUCAAAUGUUGGGUAACUCCUGGUAGAUUAUAAUAAAGUAAUAAACACACUUGGUUAGCUUUUUUAAUUGUGAUUAUUUAUAAUUAAAAAAGUGAUUAAAAUUAUUAACAAAUCCAUGUCACUAAUAACUGUGAUUUCAAUUAAAAGACAUUUAACUUAAAACUUCCGUUGUUAAAAAAAAAA